AUACGGGCGAGAGCUAUACUGCAGUCGUACGGACAGAAGGGAGCUUGCUCCCGGAUGCUAGCGGCGGACGGGUGAGUAACACGUGGGUAACCUGCCUGUAAGACUGGGAUAACUCCGGGAAACCGGAGCUAAUACCGGAUAGUUCCUUGAACCGCAUGGUUCAAGGAUGAAAGACGGUUUCGGCUGUCACUUACAGAUGGACCCGCGGCGCAUUAGCUAGUUGGUGAGGUAACGGCUCACCAAGGCGACGAUGCGUAGCCGACCUGAGAGGGUGAUCGGCCACACUGGGACUGAGACACGGCCCAGACUACUACGGGAGGCAGCAGUAGGGAAUCUUCCGCAAUGGACGAAAGUCUGACGGAGCAACGCCGCGUGAGUGAUGAAGGUUUUCGGAUCGUAAAGCUCUGUUGUUAGGGAAGAACAAGUGCAAGAGUAACUGCUUGCACCUUGACGGUACCUAACCAGAAAGCCACGGCUAACUACGUGCCAGCAGCCGCGGUAAUACGUAGGUGGCAAGCGUUGUCCGGAAUUAUUGGGCGUAAAGGGCUCGCAGGCGGUUUCUUAAGUCUGAUGUGAAAGCCCCCGGCUCAACCGGGGAGGGUCAUUGGAAACUGGGAAACUUGAGUGCAGAAGAGGAGAGUGGAAUUCCACGUGUAGCGGUGAAAUGCGUAGAGAUGUGGAGGAACACCAGUGGCGAAGGCGACUCUCUGGUCUGUAACUGACGCUGAGGAGCGAAAGCGUGGGGAGCGAACAGGAUUAGAUACCCUGGUAGUCCACGCCGUAAACGAUGAGUGCUAAGUGUUAGGGGGUUUCCGCCCCUUAGUGCUGCAGCUAACGCAUUAAGCACUCCGCCUGGGGAGUACGGUCGCAAGACUGAAACUCAAAGGAAUUGACGGGGGCCCGCACAAGCGGUGGAGCAUGUGGUUUAAUUCGAAGCAACGCGAAGAACCUUACCAGGUCUUGACAUCCUCUGACAACCCUAGAGAUAGGGCUUUCCCUUCGGGGACAGAGUGACAGGUGGUGCAUGGUUGUCGUCAGCUCGUGUCGUGAGAUGUUGGGUUAAGUCCCGCAACGAGCGCAACCCUUGAUCUUAGUUGCCAGCAUUCAGUUGGGCACUCUAAGGUGACUGCCGGUGACAAACCGGAGGAAGGUGGGGAUGACGUCAAAUCAUCAUGCCCCUUAUGACCUGGGCUACACACGUGCUACAAUGGACAGAACAAAGGGCUGCGAGACCGCAAGGUUUAGCCAAUCCCACAAAUCUGUUCUCAGUUCGGAUCGCAGUCUGCAACUCGACUGCGUGAAGCUGGAAUCGCUAGUAAUCGCGGAUCAGCAUGCCGCGGUGAAUACGUUCCCGGGCCUUGUACACACCGCCCGUCACACCACGAGAGUUUGCAACACCCGAAGUCGGUGAGGUAACCGUUAUGAGCCAGCCGCCGAUAGUGGGCCUGCAGUC
Molecule: ribosomal RNA, 1453 nt
Filed under: Bacillus aerophilus
Lineage: Bacteria; Bacillati; Bacillota; Bacilli; Caryophanales; Bacillaceae
Description: bacterial SSU rRNA
Rfam family: Bacterial small subunit ribosomal RNA
Source: RNAcentral